AAUGGGCGAAAGCCUGACGGAGCAACGCCGCGUGAGGGAUGAAGGCCUCUGGGCUGUAAACCUCUUUUAUCAAGGAAGAAGAUCUGACGGUACUUGAUGAAUAAGCCACGGCUAGUUCCGUGCCAGCAGCCGCGGUAAUACGGGAGUGGCAAGCGUUAUCCGGAAUUAUUGGGCGUAAAGCGUCCGCAGGCGGCCCUUCAAGUCUGCUGUUAAAAAGUGGAGCUUAACUCCAUCAUGGCAGUGGAAACUGUUGGGCUUGAGUGUGGUAGGGGCAGAGGGAAUUCCCGGUGUAGCGGUGAAAUGCGUAGAUAUCGGGAAGAACACCAGUGGCGAAGGCGCUCUGCUGGGCCAUCACUGACGCUCAUGGACGAAAGCCAGGGGAGCGAAAGGGAUU
This 394-nucleotide ribosomal RNA is filed under the name uncultured Gammaproteobacteria bacterium. RNAcentral's name for it is "bacterial SSU rRNA". It matches the Rfam family "Bacterial small subunit ribosomal RNA", at positions 370 to 779 of the family's 1533-position model. The record is from RNAcentral. Lineage: Bacteria; Pseudomonadati; Pseudomonadota; Gammaproteobacteria.